This 253-nucleotide ribosomal RNA is filed under the name uncultured bacterium. Its description in RNAcentral is "partial 16S ribosomal RNA". It matches the Rfam family "Bacterial small subunit ribosomal RNA", at positions 524 to 776 of the family's 1533-position model. The record is from RNAcentral.
UACAGAGGGUGCAAGCGUUAAUCGGAAUUACUGGGCGUAAAGCGUGCGUAGGUGGUUUGUUAAGUCAGGUGUGAAAUCCUCGGGCUCAACCCGGGAACUGCGCUUGAUACUGACUGACUCGAGUGUGGUAGAGGAUAGUGGAAUUCCCGGUGUAGCGGUGAAAUGCGUAGAUAUCGGGAGGAACAUCAGUGGCGAAGGCGGCUAUCUGGACCAACACUGACACUGAGGUACGAAAGCGUGGGUAGCAAACAGG